UGGGGAAUAUUGGGCAAUGGGCGCAAGCCUGACCCAGCAACGCCGCGUGAAGGGAGAAGGCUUUCGGGUUGUAAACUUCUUUUCUCAGGGACGAACAGAUGCCGGUACCUGAGGAAUAAGCCACGGCUAACUACGUGCCAGCAGCCGCGGUAAUACGUAGGUGGCAAGCGUUAUCCGGAUUUACUGGGUGUAAAGGGCGUGUAGGCGGGAAAGCAAGUCAGAUGUGAAAACCAUGGGCUCAACCUGUGGCCUGCAUUUGAAACUGUUUUUCUUGAGUACUGGAGAGGCAGACGGAAUUCCUAGUGUAGCGGUGAAAUGCGUAGAUAUUAGGAGGAACACCAGUGGCGAAGGCGGUCUGCUGGACAGCAACUGACGCUGAGGCGCGAAAGCGUGGGGAGCAAACAGGAUUAGAUACC
RNAcentral lists this ribosomal RNA (416 nucleotides) under uncultured bacterium. RNAcentral describes it as "bacterial SSU rRNA". It matches the Rfam family "Bacterial small subunit ribosomal RNA", at positions 355 to 786 of the family's 1533-position model. The record is from RNAcentral.